UCCCUCUUUCCCGUCUCCCCGACAGAAAACAAUCUCAUGUAAGUUACACACAUACUAUCAUAUUAAACAUUUCCACAUUAGUCAUGUUGUGAAAGAAAAAUCAAAACAAAAGAAAGGGAAAAAAGCGAAAACUGUGCUUUGUUCUGCAUUCGCUCUCCGUGGUUCUUUCUCCCUUUGGAAUUGUCUUGCUGAGGAGUUAAGUCUGUUAUAGUUACCACAUAAUCUGACUGUUACUAUGUACAAUAUUCUCCUGGUCUUGCUCACUUCCCACAGUAUCAGUUCAUGUAAGUCUUCCCCGGCUCCUCUGCAAUCCACCUGCUUGUCAUUCCCCCCAUUAAGAGUAUUUCAUUUUUUCUAAAUAUAUGUAAAGAUUGUUUUCAACAUUCAUUUCUGUGAGAUUUUAUGUUCCAAAAUUUUUUUCUCCCUUCCUCCCCCACCUCAUCCAGACAGCAAUCUCAUAAGGUUAAAUAUGUACAGUCCUACACAAAAGGGGAAAAUACUAUGAGAAAAAAAGCAAACAAUAAAAAGGGUAAAGACAGCGUGCUUUGAUCCACAUUCAGUUUUUAGUUUUCUCUGGUGGGGAUGGCAGUUUCCAUCCCAAGUCUUUUGGAAUUGUACUGGAUGACUACACUGCAGCUGCUCAUCACAGAACCUUCUUAUAGAACAUAUCCCAUGACUUUCCUGUACUACAGCCAUUCCCCAGCUGAUGAGCAUCUACUCAAUUUCCAGCUCUUGUCACACACAAAGGGCUGCUACAAACAUUUGCGCCCGUGUGGGUCGUUUCCCUUUUUUAUGAAGUAGUGGUACUGCUGGAUCAAAGGGUCUGUGCAGUUUUAUAGCCCUUUGGGGAUAGUUCCAAUUGCUCCAACUCUCACGAGAAGAUGAGGUUCCCAGAGUGGAACAGCUGCUUCUCCUCUCAGGGUUCUAACACUGGAUAACUCUGAGGGGCUGGGGUCUCCAACUAUUCAGAUAGAUGGGUCCAUCUGAGGAGCCAGUGUCCUUCCCCCAAAGAGGCAGUAGGGUGGCCUGAGAGCACUUAAGUUCAAAUAUGGCCUAAGACACUUCCUAACUUAUGAUCUGAGUGAAUCAUUUAACCUCUACCACAGUUUCCUCAACUGUAAAAUGGAAAUGAUUUUGACCCCUCCCUUGUGGUGAGAAUCAAAUGAGAUCAUAUUUAUAAAGCAUUUAGGCAAGUGUAUGGCACAUAGUAGGCAUCUAAUAAUUCAUCUGGAAGAAGAAAAUGUCAAGAAUAUCAAGGAAAUUAAUGAAAAAGUACAAAGGUCUGUUGCUAUUAAUUAGCUUUAAUGAACAUUUUAUUGAGAAGGAAUAGCAAAGAAAGAAGUUCAAAAGCAGGCCCCCUCCCCCCCCCCAAACCAGGGACACAAUUUCCUAUGAAAAGAGCGCCCUCACUCAAAGUGGUGGGGGGAAAAUAUUCGCUCACCCAACCCCGGAGCACACUCUUCAUCCUGUAUGAUACAAGGUCCUUGGGAUGACCCAGAGAACGGUGGGGCCUGAGGGUACCUCACACUUCGCGGCCCUGGGAGUCUAUUUCUCCCUUUAAGGAAUCCCCACAAAGUUUGGGUCAGGGAAUGGUGCCAACCUGGGCAAGGUACCCCUUAUUCCUUGCAGGAUGAAGUAGCCGGGCCAGUCUCCCACUGGACCAGGGCCUAAUCAGGCUUCGGACUUCCCGCUCCCACUGACGAGGAAGCCUCCAAAGGCUCUUUUAAUAUUCUGAAGUUCUCAGGGUUAUAACCUGAUAAACCCCCUAUCUGAACACUCUUUCACAUCAGAGGAAGAAUAAAGGCAAAGCAAAUGGGGGCCAUGCGCUUGGGACACAGGUGGGAGAGAGAAGGCGCUCAAAGCAUCCUCCUCCGCUGCGACUGUCAGGGAGGAAACAGCAUCCAUCAUAACCUUUGGCAACCAUUCUUAUGCCUCUGGGUGGCACCAAUAGAACCCACUUCCCUCCACAACUGCAGUCCUUCCCUGGUCCACGGCUGGGCUCCCUCCUCUCCCCCCACCCCCUAUUAAAUCUCUUUUGUUGGAGGCAGAUCCAGAUUUGGCAGUGUUGUCUUGGUCCCUGGGACCGUUCUCACUCUGCAGGGUGGGCAGCCAGCUCUGUAAUGCCAAAGGUCACUUUUAAUGGGGUGACCAGUUCCUCCAUUUGUCCCAUUUCGUAUUCUGCCUUAAGGUUAUGACCGUCCCCUCUUAAUGGUUGAAAUAAAGGUGUUAUACACAUUCCUUAAUGUCUUUAGAAUAUCAGUAACCUCCUUCUAUGAGGCUAUCCCCACCUAGGUCUCUGUAUUAUGUCAUUGUUUUAACUAUUGAAAUUUGUAAUUGUUUUAACUAUUGAAUUGGUCUCUAAUCUCUGUCUUGCUCAGUUUCUUUUGGCAUUACAGCUCCAUCCUGGGUCCUGGCUAUCAGGGUGGCCAUUGUGCUGAGCAGAGGGCUUAAGGCUUCCCCAGGUGUUUGCCUUUAUAACAUCGCAAUGGUAUCAGUUGUUCUCCAGUUCCUGCUCCCUUUGCUUUGUAGCAGCUCGGCUUCCCCCGGGCGUCUCUGAACCCCUCCUUAUUCCUCAAGACACAAUAAUAUCCCAUCAUAUUUAUAUCCACUUCUGGCAACUCAGGAAGGCUAAGUUGCAGAAAAAGGAGCUAGUUCCAUUAAUAAACGGAGUUUCCUCCCAUGAGACAAACUCAAGAUCUACAUGAUUAUUUAAUGCACAUUCUCUGAUUGAGAGCCAUCCCCUUGGUUUCCUGGCUGCCUUUACAAAAUGUGCUUCUACAAAUACUUUUGUAUAUGACAGUACUUUCAUUCUUCCUUUUAAUAAGAUUUAUCCUUCCUCCCUCCUUUUCUUCUUUCCUCUUUCCCUCUCUCCCUCCUUCCUUACUUCUGUGUGGUUCAGACAGCAUUUAAUAAAAAAGCUGGAAAGAUAUCUAGAAGCAAAGCAAAGUUUAACAUAUAUUCUUGGGAGAAUCGGGUGUCAUCCCCCCAUCCUGAGUAGACAAUUGAAGGGAGGAGGCACCUUUGGGUUGCAGGAUCAACACUUUUAAUACCUAACGCAAAUACCCCCUCCCACCAUUGACCCUCAUCUUUAUUGGUUGAGGAGCUUACAUUUUACACGUUGGAACUACACAAGAAAUUGAACUUGACCAAUGAGUACAUACUUUCCCAUAUUUGACUGAAAUAGGGAGGGUAACAAGAAGGGGACUUAAGUAUGCCCUCAGGAGGACAGUAGGGAGGGGGCUUAAGUGUGCCCUUGACUCAAUGCUCAAAGUCCUUCAGGCCUACUCAAACUUUGAAAUAGAUGAAGCCUUAUCGAUUUUCACAAGUGUCUUGAAAGAUCUCAUCUCGAUCCGUCCCCCCUCUUAUUUGUACAAUGAGAUCUCUUCAAAUUCUGGUAGCCUAACUUCACAUUCCCAAUCGAAUUCCUCAUCCCCUUCUGGCUCCCAUCCUUUUAACGCCAUCAAUCUUAACAGAGCCUUCAGCUUUCUCUUCCAACUCAAUCAUUCUAGAUAAUGAGGUUUGGACUAUUCUGGUUAUCAAUGGGAUCAAACAAGGUAUGCAGAUAGGGAGUAAUAUAACACCACUGAGAGCUAUAAGGCCAAACCAAAGGAGCUGCUCCCACCAGCUUCCCCCAAACCAGGACCACCAGGAAGUAUUGAACGGUGAGGUCCAGGUCUGUACAGGAACAUGAGCAAGUUUCCUAAUGUUCUUAGUGACUUCUUUUACUAGAUUUCCAUUGUCAUCAAUCUUUAUACAACAAAUAUACAAAUUUAGUUUCGCACAAACUCCCCCUUCCUCGGCCAACACAAGUCUAUGUUGUAAAACAGCCUCUCUGGUUUGAGGAGCUUGGUCAGCCAAAAGAUCUAGUGCCUCAACCAUAAUCUCUACAACUGCUUGAAGCUUAAUUAUUCUGUUCAACAUAGAGAUUGGGAUUCUAUAUCCCCAACUUCUAUCUUGAGCCCAAGUGCCUGGCCCAUACUAACUGUUUUCUCUGGAGGCCAGGUACCACCCCAACCAUUUGCAUCUCCAGUCUGAGUAAUGGAGGUAUCUAAACCCCAUUUCUCUCUUCCCAAAUCAUCGUACAACUGAAUCCCUAAAUAUUGGUUUACCUAUUGAGGAGGAAAGAAAAAUUUUGGCCUUAUUAGUCCAAUAUAGCAAAUCCCUAUCCAAUUAAGAGGUAGGGGAGUAUCAGCAGUUAGUCCACAGAUCUAAUAAUGACCCAUUAGAACAGGUUGUUCCCUCGAAAAUAUGUCCGAAAUAUUCCUUGUAAAAGGGCAAUAUUGCUGGUCCCUCGUCCCUAGGGGACCUUCCCCUACAAAGGUGACAUACUGACGUUUGAUAAACCCCGCUCCUUCCUCCAACUACAAUUGGCAACUGGCCAUUGACCUGCUAGGUUAGAGGUUCUCCAAAAUGUGGGAAACAAGAGUCCCAUUGAUGGGGGAAAGAUUCCAAUCUCUGAUUCCCAACCCCCCUAGCUAAUGUAAAUUACCCUUUGACUCACAAAUCCUGGUCCCUUUGAAUUCCAAUAGAAGAUCUGGACCUGUCCCAGCCCCACCAGGAUCUGAGCCAACUUUGGGGCUACACCCCAAAGCCCCUGGAGCUAAGUCUUUUACCUUGUCCAGAGUUAAGUCCACUCACAUACACUAUUUCCCAGCUUCAAACUUUGCCCUGUUUACAAAAUCUAUCUUCUGUCAAUGGCCACUGAUGUUUCUUUUCCAAGUUCCAGAAAUCAGUCCCAUUAUGAAUCUGGAAUCAGUUACUAAGGAUCCAGGCUGGGCUUAAGGGGAUAGGUACCCAUGGCCAUUGACUCAAUUGUUGGGAUCCACCACAGAUCCAACAAUUUGAUAAGUUAAAAGUUCUCCCUAUAUUCUGCAUGAGCAGGAGGAACUGGUUCUCAUCUCUGGAAGGUAAAGGUCUGGUUUCUAUGGCUAUCAUGAGGAAAUAGGCAAACCCAAGGCUCAGGGAAAGCCCCAUGAGGGUCUCCCAAAGUAAUUAAUGUAAAUAAAGUCAUACAAUUACAAUGCACUGGAUUUUGAGUUUGUGUUCCCAUUCAGUGGAGGUCCCCUCCUCGAGGUUUCCCCAUUUUCAACUGUCCACUCGGAUAAAGGUGGCGCCACAGGUCCUUUUGUUCUGGUGUGGUGUGUCCAGCCUCGUUCCUGGGUGCGAAUUGCAGUGUCCAAGGUCAGUAUCACCUGGUAGGGCCCGUGUCAGCACACGGAGUCAGCUUCUCAUCCUUCCGGAGUCAGCUUCUCAUCCUUCCAGGAACGGACCAACACCCAAUCUCCAACCUGAAUUCUAUGAAUAGGGAAACCUAGGAGUCCGAGCUAUUAACCCUUUUGUUGAAGUCCUAGCAAUGAAUUAACAUCUCUUAAGAAAUAAAUCCUUUGUCUCUAAGAUAGGGUCCCAGUUUCCCAUAGGACAAGCCUGGAGAGGAUGACCGUACAAUAAUUCCUAAGGCGAAAGCCCUCUAUCUCUAUGUGGCUUGGUUCCGAUUCUGACCACAGUGAGAGGAAGACAUUUAGUCCAAGGUAGUGGAGUCUCUAAAGAUAAUUUAGUCAGUUGCUGUUUUAUUUCUUGAUUCAUCCUUUCUACUUUUCCAGAAGAGGGAGGAUGCCAAGGGGUGUGGAGAUCCCAAGUGAUUUCUAAGGCCCCAAUCAGAUUCUGCCAUACUUGGGCAGAAAAAUGUGUUCCUGAUCCUAGUCUAUCCUCUCACUAUUCCAUAUCUGGGAAUAACUCAUUCUAAUAAGACCUUACUGUGGAGGCAGUUGCUCGGGCUGAGGGGAAUGCCUCCACCCAUGAGGUCAGAUGGUCCACUAUGACUGGCAAGUAUUUAAGGCGACCCACUGGUGGCAGCUCAGUGAAGUUCACCCGGAUGCUUUAGAAUGGUCCGAUUCCCGCAGCUCGUCCCCCUUUUGGGAUCUGGCGUUGAGCAGCCUUGUUGUCCUUCGACAAAACGGGACAGGCAUCCACCAGUUGUCAGGUCAUAUAUAGGCCAAGGGAAACAUACCUUGUCAGCACAGCAUCACACAGGUUUUGGACAUCCCAGUGACUGCCCUGGGGCAGCUGCUGAAGGACCUGCCUCAUACUUGCUUUGGUCAGUACCUCUCUGCCAUCAGGUAAGAGCCAUCAUCUUUCCGAGUCCCAACUGCUCUGAGAGUCGAGGCCUUCUCUUUUUCCUUCUGGGCAAAACUGGGAGAGGGUAGACUAGGGGGAAGUACAGGUAGCAAGGCCAUUAUAUGAGACAUCUCUUGGUCUCCAGCUCCCUUGGGCUCCUCAUCUGCUAAUCUAUUUCCCCUUGCCUCAAAAGAUUUUCCCUUCUACCACUUUAGAAGAUCCAUCUAGAAAUCAAUUUACUCCCCAGGCAUUGGGGAUUCUUGUGAAUCCUCUUACUUUCGUCUGAAAAUCAAUUAACUCUAAACAACAAUAUUCCUGUGCAGCGGUGGUUCCGUUCCAAGGGACAGGAGGCAGGAUUAAGAUGAUCAACAUUCUGGAAUCGGUGAGCUCUUCCCCAGCCCUCUGAUUUCAUAUCGUUCUUACUUGGUGUGGGACACUUACUAUAACACUGCCUCCAAAGGUGAGCUUCCUACUCUCUUCUACCAAGAGAUUGGUAGCAGCUACUGCUUGUACACAGGUCGGCCAUGCUUUGGGUCUAAUACUUUAUAAGUCAGGGGCCUGGGAUUGGGGUCGCAGAGAUAGCCCGGUCUUCCAUCAAGAUACAGUGUAAAAGGCUCUAGGCCUAAACCUUAACCUAAUCAGGGCGUGACGACAUUCCUGGCUUUUUCAAAAGGCAAGGUGGGAGUGGCCCCAAGUUCUUGGGCUAAGUAAGCCUUUAGAUAAAGAAACUCUAGCCCCAGAAAAUAAAAAGGUUAAAAAAGAUUAAAAGCAGCCACCAAAGUCUGGCCGCAAAUUAAAUAUCUCUUGAAGGCAGUUUUACUUUGGGUACCUGUCCUUGUUUAACAAUUCCACCUUAUGACCUAUCACAGUCACCCCCGAAUUCAAAAUUCCCAGCAAAUACUAGCUGCAGUCCCAAAAGAUUUUAUCUCCUACAGCAGUUAUCAUUUAUCAAGGCUUCCGAUGAAUCUAGUUCAAGAAUCCCAGUAAAGGGUUCAUCCUAGAAAGUUCACAGUUUAUACAGCUUAGAUAGUUCUAAGUUUAACAUUACACAGAUCAUUUUGCCUUUAAAAUACUCAAAUACAAAGAAACAAAAUUCUAAUUGCACGUUGUCCAUCCCGUUUCCACAUAAAAGAAACUUUUAGAUCUUUCAGAUUUAACAUUGAUACUCUCUUCAAUUUUUGGAAAUAGCCCUAUCAAAUUAUCAGAUCAGAUUAAAAUCCUGCUCUACAUAUUUUUAUCAUCUUCCUCAAACAAGGAGACUAUCAUGCAGAUAAAUAAACAUUAAAUAAUUUGCUUUAGACAGAUGGGCUCUUAGUAAAAAUAAAUCGCUUUCAGAUAACUUACAGUUCCAACAAACUUCUUAGAGCAGCUAGACUUGAAAAAUAAAAAUAAAACAUUCCGUUAUUAACACUAUAUAAAUGUAGGCUGUUCCUUCAAACAGUAGAAUCAAUUGAUAGCUGAACCAGCAAGGUGUGGCAGUUGUUAAAAAGCCACCAUACUUAAUGGGGAAGGGGGAUUAGAUCACCUGACAAGGUCCCUCUCCACGUGGCCACCCUUCCCCACUCCACCAUGCUUCCCAACCCUAACUUAUCACAGCUAACUUUUUAGGGUGCCAUUUCCCCAGGAUCCAAUCUGCCAGCUCAAGACAGGCCCCAACCUCAUGGAUACAUCUCCUUUUCCCAUGGCAAACGGCAGAUUCAUUAUGGAAUUGUGCCUUUUUCUUCCAUUUCUGGAGAGCUAUUUUCCUCUUUUUCUCUCACAUCAUCUCUUCCUGUUCCCAUCUCUCUCCUUCCAAAGCUUACUUGCUUAAACCUUCUCCAACAUAUGCUAAAAAUUCCCAAACCAAUGCUAGAUGCUCCAUUUAAACUAUUAAUUGCUUUUGCAAAUCAGUCUUUCUUGUCCCUCAUCUUUAAGUCAAAAAAAAUUUUUUUAAGCUUUAAAGGUUUGCAAAUAACUGAACCAAAUUUCAUAAAACUUAUCCAUGCCCAACAGAGAUGACAAAUUUUUAAGGCAUAACUCAGUUACAAAUUACCCAGUACCUCUAGAAAACAACAUACCAUCUAAGUAGGGAGAUACAACCCCAACCUCCCCUAAGGUAAACUACCAGCAUUUUGUUUUAAUACCUAUAUUCUAACUUAAAAUCCCAAACACGGCUUUCAUUUCCCAAUAAUAUAAAACCACUUUCACCAUCAUAUUUAAAAUAAUGAAUUUCACCAAAUAGCAGUUUCUUUCCCUUGGUCCCACGUGGCUCUGCUGCAGGCCGGGUCACAUGGGAGGGAAAGGAAAGAAGCCACCAUCUUCACUCUCUCCAUCCCACAUACUUCCCCCAUGUAUAGGGUGAUUGUGCUCCCAAUUGGGAUGGGCUAAAGGCAUUUCUGAUCAGCUGAAACUACUCCUGCAGCCGGAGGGUUUCUCCUGUCCCAGUCCUUCAUAGCUGCAUCUCUAAUCAGUCCCCUCUCCUCUAGUGAGAAGAGAGAAUUCAAAAUAGACCUAAAUUCUCCUCCCGACCCCGAGGGCCCUUGGGGAGGGCAGAUGGAAUCAAAUCCUUUCCUUCUCUUUCAGGUACAAAUUCAGUCUUUGGCCCACCCAGUGCCUCCACCAAUAUCUUUGUCACCCCAGACAACACAGCAAUGCCUUAUUCCCUAGCUUUUUCCUUCUAUAUUUUGGCAAUUCAUUCCAAUUACUUAAUUUAUCUCCCAAGGGACUAUCUCCGGUAUUUUCUGAUCAUUUUUCUCCUUUCUCCCGGCGAGGGCUGCCUGGGACUGGGCCACACCCAUUGAAUUUGGACGGAAUCUAAAUUCCAAAACGCCCAAACACGCCAAUUGUCUCCAGUCACCCUAGAAGGCCUCGCCAAGCCAAUCCUGUCCAGAGACCCAGAGGUUAAGACUCCAGGCCUCACAGGGUCCUGUCCAGAGACCCCUCCAGAGUUUAGGACUCAAGGGCCUCCCAGGGGGCUUACCUCUGGGGUGUUGCACAACAAAUUGCUUGACUGAUACCUGUCCUCCACUGAACCGGUCUGGAUUUUUCCGUGGAGUUUUUCCCUUUGCUUUGCUCCGAGUUCCUCCACUUCGGGCCCACUUUACCUUGGGGAGUAAGGAGAAGCCCUGGACGCUGGCCGGCUGCCUAAAUCAGGGCAGGGAACCACCCUGGAGGAGGCACCCUAGGGGGCAGGGUCAACACUUUUAAUCCCUAACACCCCCUCCCACCACUGACACUCAUCCUCACUGGCUGAGGAUCUUACAUUCUAAAUGUGGGAACUACCCAAGAAAUUGAACUUGACCAAUAAGUACAUAGUUGCCCAUAUUUGACUGAAAUAGGGAGGAUAACAAGGGGACUUAUGUCCUCCGGAGGAUAGCAGGGAGGGGGCUUAAGUACGCCCUUGACUUAAUGCUUAAAGUCCUUCAGGCCUACUCAAACUUUGAAAUAGAUGAAACCUUACUCGAUUUUCACGGCUGUCUUAAAAGAUCUCACCUCUUCUCUUUCACUUCCUUCCCUCUUUUUUCUUUCUUUCCUUCCUUCCUUCCUGUUAUACCUUUUUUUUUUUUUUUGCCCAGAGAGCGGGUUGUUUUUUAUUGUAAUAAUUUUAUUUAUUUGAAUACACAUUGUUUUAUGAAUCAUGUUGGGAGAGAAAAAGCAGAACAAAAGGGAAAAACCAUGGGAGAGAUAAAAAACCCAACAGAAAACAGACAGAAAAAAGAAGUGAGCACAGUGCGUGUUAUUUAUGUUCAAUCUCCACAGAUCUUUUUCUGGCCGCAGACGGCAUUUUCUGUCCAAAGUCUAUUGGGACUGCUUGGGAUCACUGACCCGCUGAGAAGAACCGACCCUUUCCCGGUUGAUCAUCGCCCAUGUUUGCUGUUACUGUGCACAAUGUAUUCCUGCUUCUGCUUGUUUCACUCAGCAUUAGUUCGUGUAAAUCCAGGCCUUUCUAAAAUCAGUUUGUUCAUCACUUUUUAUAGAACAAUAAUAUUCCAUAAUGUAAAUCUUGGUGAGUUCAGUGGCCGGCAGGCAAAGGUGGCUCCAGAAAUGGUCUGGCCACACCAGGAGGUGGCCAAGCCCACCAGGGGUAAGGAGGGGAAGGGGCUCAACCUGCUCCCUGAGGAGAAGCCAAUUAGCCCCUUCGGGUCUCCCUUCCUCUCCUCAACAGGGAAUGCCGCCCUGCUACCCCAAGCUGGGCUCUGUCCGGGGCAAAAUGGGGCAGGGCUUGGUCAUGGGCUGGCCCGCCAUCGGGACCCUUCCAGCCUGGGCGGCCCUGGACAUUUGCUCCCCCUGGGCCCUCUGCAGGAAAUGCCCAGCUCCCAGGGCUGAUCCAAGGCUCCUUUCUGUGAGGUGCUCUCAAACACCGGCUGCUGUGCUGUGGUGCUGGAGGCUCUUCACCCCUCUGAGCCUUCUAGAAUCAGAAAUUGUUAACACUGGGACAGAUCACAAAGCCCAACCCUGAAGCCCAACCCAGCUGGGGAAACUGAGGCCCAGAAAUGCGGAGGGCCUUGCUUGAAGGUCUGCAGAGUCAAGACUAGAACCCAGACCUUUUGACUCCCGUGGAGCAGAGAUCAGCGGGCACCAGCUCAGAUCCUGGCUCUCUGACCUCUACCUCUGGUCCCAUCACAAGGUUAUCAGGGCCUCUGCCCUAACGGGAGACAGUCCUCCCUUGGGGGACAGGGAAAGCCUGGUGAGGGAGAGAGGCUGGCACGUGCUCCGAGGGCUGCCCUCGAGGAGGCAGAAGGAAAGAGGGAAAAGAUGUUCAGGGGGUGGUGAGGCAGGAGGCAGCUUCGGGACAGAACUGACUGACCUGCUGAGGGCUCCGAGAGGGAGCAGAGAGAAGGGGCUGGGGGCUGAGCCUGGGGAGCUUCCCCAUCUAGGGCUGGGCUGGGCCCAUAAUGAUGAGGGAAAGAUUCCAAUCUUUGAUUCCCAACCCCCCAAGUUAAUGUAAAUUACCCUUUGACUCACAAAUCCUGGUCCCUUUGAAUUCCAAUAGAAGAUCUGGACCUGUCCCAGCCCCACCCGGAUCUGAGCCAACUUUGGGGCUACACCCCAAAGCCCCUCGAGCUAAGUCUCCGACUUAAAAGGGCUAUGCUGGGAACCCAUCUUGGCAGAGAUUCCAAACAUGGCAGCCAUGUGAGGAGUCUCUGUCCACUGGCCCCUCUGUCCACUGGACCCUCUGUCCAGUGCCCUCCUUGUCUCUACCUUCACCAUCUCCUACUUCUAAACUCAGUAUUAAACCUCUUUUAUCAAUCUAGCUCUCGGGCUAAUAAAAUGCUUUUAUUGGGAAUACCACUAGACCUCAUUUACCACCUUAUCCUUGCGCCGAAUCCAAGGGGGUUGCAGGGGAACUCUGUUUGACUCUCUGUACCCCAAACUCGCCACUAGACCUUAACUAAAACCCUAAUUUCAUUUAGAUCCCCCAAAUGUAGACCUCAACACAUGGUCUACACCUCAACAUUUGGUUCCUGACCUCAACAACAUAACCACAGGAAGCAAAGAGCACCCCUUCUCUGGAGCCUCGGGGAAAGGGGCUGCCGAGGGGCUUCCGACUCCUCCUCAGUCUGGCAGGCAGGUUGGCCAUUCCCUCGUCUCUAUGUCACCCCCCAGCCCCGUUCCAGUAUUUCUCCUUACCCGGGAAGGGCCAAAGGCCCCAACCCUAUCCAGAGUUUGGCGCUGGGGGCCUUGGGUCCUGGGGCUUUUAGUCUCGGUUUCUCCUUCCAGCCAGUCCGCCAUUGGGGGGCCUUUCUCUGUGGGUUCCUUUUGUGGGAUAUUACCUCCUCUUGGUGCUGUUUGCUCGCUCAGAACCAGCAUGAACCCAAAAAAAAAAGGAGGGGGGAGAUGGAGACAGGGCGGGGCUCGGAGGGGGGAGAUGGAGACAGGGCGGGGCUCGGAGGGGGGAGAUGGAGACAGCGUUGAGCUUGGAGGGGGGACAAAGAAGGUGGCCAACAGCUGGGUGGGCCAGCCUGGCCUGGGGCAGGCAGCCAGGGGCAGGCGGAGAAUGAGGCCGUUUUCUUUCUCCAGAAUUGAAGCGGAGACCCUGAGAGAACUGCAAAGCCGCCCGAAUGAAAGACAGCAUUAAUUGGGAGUCCAGGUCUGGCAAGGAGCCACAUGGCUCCCGGGGAAGUGGCUCGGGGUGGGGAGAGUUGGGAGGCCGGCAGCGAGCAGACACAGUGAUUCCUUUUUGCAGAUGAAAUCACGAUGUUUUUGAAAACUAACCAGCCAAGCAAAAAAGUCACGGAAAUGUAACCUCAGCAGCCUUUGCAAGGUGCAAAAUCAAUCCGCAAAUCAUUAACCUUCUGUAUGUCACCAGGAAAAGUGAGAAAGAGGAGAUGCGUGUGGCGUAACUAUGGAAGCUACAAACUAUCUGGGAGCGGGUCUGCAGGAUUCAUCCAGGAGUUGGGAACGGGCUACAAGGGUGGUCUAAAUACCUGGAGAAAUAAUAGUUGCUCAUAGGUAGCUCGAGCCGAGACAACAAAAAGGACAGUGAAGUCGCCAUUCAGUUCCAUGCCAUCAGGUCCCAAAGGGCUAAAAAACAGUGAAAUGCCUGUGGAAGAACCAAGGCUGGGGAAUCUCCAGGGUAAGCGGAGAAAGGUGGGAAGGAAGAGCAUCUCUGGGCCCCCGUUCCACACUGUCACAAAGCAAUGUUCACACAAUUAUUUGGCAGCGAUUACGAAAGGCCGAGGUCAGUGGGAACUGAUUAGGUUCCCAACGAUGGGGCAGCUCGGGCCGCAGGAACUGAUUAGGUUCCCAACGAUGGGGCAGCUCGGGCCGCAGCGGAUCCGGAACCAGGAGACUUGUCUUCCCGAGUUCAAAGUUGGCCUAAGACACUUACUGUGGGACCCCAGGCAAGUCUCUGCCCCAUUUGCCUCAGUUUCCUCGUGUAUAAAAUGAGCUAGAGAAGGAAUGGCAAAUGUCUGGGCCAAGAAAACCCCCAGCGGGGUCAUAGGAAGUGGAUACAAGUGCGCCGUAGAAAUGAUAAAGCGGCCCCUUGCAGAGGAACUGGGGGUGACUGCUGCGGCCUGAGGGAGCAGAAGGGGGGGAGGGGGGGACACACCAGUUCCUUUAACUUUGCUCUUUGUCUAGAGCAACAACAAAGUCCACAAGGAAGAAGGUAAUGGUUCCCCUCGGCCUUUAUCAGACUCACCUGGAGGCCGGUUUGCGUCCUUGGGAAGGGACUGGGAGCGAACGUGGAGAAGAGAAAGAAGCAGGGGAGGGAGGGAGGGAGCCCAUGUUUGUUCAGGUAGUUAAGGAAAGGAUGGAUUAGUUACUGACGGGAGGCUCUUGGCCCAGAGCGCCUCGGCUCGGAGAUCUGGGGUCCGGCGGGGGAGGGGGGGGCUGCAACCGAUCCGGGCCUUAUUUCACUGACUCAGUGCAGAGAGGCCGGAAACCCCUGCGACCCUGAUGUGGGAAAGAUUCUAGAUUCCCGCCCCUCGGAGUUAAUAAUGUGAAUUACCCUGGAACUCACAAAUCCGGGUCCCUUUGAAUUUCAGUAGAAGAUCGGCCCGUCCCAGCCCCACCCGGAUCUGAGCCAACACCCACGGGCCCCUCGAGCUAAGUCUCCCAUUGUAAAAGGGCCCCCCGGGACCCCUCCUGGCAUUGAUUCCAAACCCGCCGCCACGGAGGACCCUCAGUCCCCGCCUCCUUAUCGCCGCCUCCGCUUAUCUCCUGCAGCCAAGCCCAAUGACAACCGCCUUUAUCACUCCGGCUCUCGGGGGAUAAAUGCGCCGCUACUAGACCUCCUUUCCCGCCGCAUCCAGGGGGUCGCAGGGGGCUCCGCUGGACUCCCUGUACCCCAAACCUGCCACUAGACCUUAACUAAACCCUGAUCUCAUUUAGGUCUCCAAAGCCAGACCUCAACAAGCGGCCCUCCCCGGGUCUCCCCGGGUCUCCCGGGGCCCAUGACCUCAAUUACCGGCCGUGCAAAUGACCCGUCUCAGCGUCAGUUUUCUUGUGUGUAAAAUGGGCACAACAGCACGACCCCGUUAGCUCUGCGGCGCGGGCCAGGGGAGGUGGGACCGGCCCGGUCGCCCUUGGUACUGCAGGGGAGGGAGACGAGGGCCCGAGCCCUGCAGAAGAGCCCCGGACGGGGGGGGAGGGGCCUUUCUGAAGGGGGGCCAGUGCUGGCGGAGCGCGCCGGGAAGCCGCCGGGGCCAGUUUCGGGGACGUUUCCCGGCAGGGGCCGGGCUGCCCUGGAAGGGGCGAGCUCCCGUCCUCGGGAGGUUUGCAGGCGGCGGUUGGAGCUCACUUGGCGCCGCCGCCUCUGGGAAGCCCCCCCAGAUUGCCCGCUCCUGCAUUCCCUCCCCCUCCCCUGGGAUUUAUUUUGCACCGAGCCGACGGGUCCCCUCCCCCACCACUCCGAGGAAGGGGGGAGGGGAGGGGGCGGACAGAUCUGGAGCCUCCCGAGUUAGACAAUAUAGAGUGUUUAUUUCAGACAAACUCGCCGAGGGCCGCCCGGAGGCUGCACCCUGCGCACCCCGACUCCCUCCCGUCCCCGGGGGCCCCGCGAGCCCCCAGACACACGCACACGGGCGCACGCACGCGCACACACACCCCUCGCACUCGCCGCGGGGAGAAGCUAAUACUAGAUCCGCGGGGGAGGGGGAGGGGAGGGGGAGGGGCGGCGGGUGUGGGCGGGGCCGGGGAGAAGCAGCCGCUCGAGGCUACCUUAUAUUCCAAUCUAGUAUUUCUAGUCUAUCGGCGUUAUUGCAUGUAUACGCUUGUUUAAAGUCAAAGUGAAGGGAGACGGGGGGCGGGGCUGCCUGCCUUCGACUAGAAGCCGUCACAGCCCGCGGGGGGGGGGGGGGGGGGGGGGAAGAGAGCCGAGGUGGGAGGGGCGGAGCUUGGAGGCCCCUCCUCCCUGGCGGGCGCUGUCCGAGGUACACGGGCCGUGUCUCCGGGCGUCCUUGCCGGGACCCUCACGCGGGGGCGGGGCGGGGUGGGGGCCAGUUCUCCGGACUCCCUGGUCGGGGUCGGGUCAGACCCGGCUCCCUGGGGCGGGAUCGGCGCAUCCUGGGCCCGGACCGAGCCUGACUCUCAGCUCCUGGGCCCGCCCCCAGGCUGGUUGGUCCCCAGCCUUGAAGACUCGCUUUUCACCGCGGGUCCGUCCCCCCCCCCUCCCCCGACACUUUGUUCCUGGGAUGGCUGUGGGGGCUCUGCAGGAACGGGAGGGAGCCGCAGGACAAGCCCAGCCAGGAGACCAGACGGGAGGGCAAGGGGAGGCCCUUCCCGCCGAGGGACUCCGCUCCUCUCCCCCCCAACUUCCCCCUUUUCCCAGCCUCCUUUCCUCUCCCCCGCCCCCCUCUGCUUCCCCU
Molecule: long non-coding RNA, 15404 nt
Filed under: Sarcophilus harrisii (Tasmanian devil)
Lineage: Eukaryota; Metazoa; Chordata; Mammalia; Dasyuromorphia; Dasyuridae
Description: lncRNA (ENSSHAG00000030972.1)
Source: RNAcentral